This is a long non-coding RNA of Nerophis lumbriciformis (worm pipefish), 868 nucleotides long. RefSeq lists it as uncharacterized. Lineage: Eukaryota; Metazoa; Chordata; Actinopteri; Syngnathiformes; Syngnathidae. The record is from RefSeq and is a predicted model, not a curated record.
UACCCUUCCUGACAGCAAAACAAACACAGUGACACAUUUUGAAGCACGCACCCGCAAAUCUCCUUGUCUGUUGUCUCUACCUUUACGCUUCAGAUGUGAAGCAGCUGACAUGUAAGUGCCACAUAAGGUCAGACGAUUCCUGCCAGCACGACGAGCAUUGCCAGCACCCUGACCACAAUAUGCACAACACCUGAACAGCCUGCAACACAAUUAGCAGGUUAGUCAUUAGUCUAUCGAGCUAACUGACCAAUAGAUGGUUGUUGUUAUUAACUGUAAUAACUAAAGAUAGGUAUGUGGAUUUGGUAUUGUGUAUAAAAGUCAGAUGGGAUCAGAAGAUGCCAUCCUCAGCCACUCAGGAGCAUCUAUGGACUGCUAUGAUAUCCUAUGAUGGUAUUAGCAUUUAUCUUCCAGUAUGAACUUACCGCCCGCCAUCAUCUUUAAGAAGAAGUUGAUCACGCGUGUUUCCGUGGCGUUGUCCACUUGGCACGUGUACCUUCCCUCAUGAUUAUUGGACAGACUGUGCAGACUGAGGUUGCCUGAAGUGGACACGUCCUUCACCUGCUCUUUCCACUCCUCACUAAUGUCCUUAGCACCGUUGCUCAUCUUGAGGAUGGUACGAUUGUUGAACGUCCAGACGACGCUCCUUUCACCAGUCAAGAAGGGACAGUUGAUGACGGUCUCUGAUCCAGAAACGCUGACAGUCGCUGAAAUGGAACCAAAGAAGGUGAGCCUCCUGCUGCUGUGGCUUCUAACGUCGCAGAUGUAGUCCACCUGAGAAGUGUUGUCCCCCGCCACGACCAGCCAGCCGCUGAUGCUGUAAAGUGUCUCCCCUGUGCCGUUGUCCACUUUCGUGGCGUUCUGGAGGGCG